ACCCUUAAAGACGAAGAGUAAAAUUUUUUUCUUCAAUGCAUCAACCGUAACCUACGAUGCAACUUAAACGUCAUUCUUAUGAAAUUAAAGAAAUUGCGAGUAAUUUAUGACUACAGACGAUAUUGGAGAUUUUAAUUACGUUAGUAGCACCCUCAAAGCAAACACAUUGAUCCAUCGCACGAAGAAAGAAACAUUCCACAGAAGAUAAUCUAGGAAAGUAUAACCAGUUAAGUUUUGCCUAGGGAAAAUUGAACAAAAUGAUUCAUUGCUGCAUCAAACUGUUCAUCUUUGUUAUUGCGAUCUGGUACGUGGUAGCUCGGCCUGAUUUUGACUUAGAAGCAGCUGAAGCUGAGAUAAGGACCGAAUAUGCAGAAAAAGUAGACGACAAUGCAGAGAAAAUGGACCAAACGAAAUCAAAACUCGCUUUUCGCCCCUUAAUUGUCCAAAACAAGUCAAAACUCAUCCCACCGACGUCAGUUGUUGCAUCAAUAGGACCGACAAUAAAAUGUCCAUUCAAUUGCAAUCAUUUGUGUAUCACCCAAAACGGAAAUUAUUACGUUUGUAGCCUGACACUUGACAAAUGCUGCGACAACGCAUGUUCAGACUACCAGAAAUGUAUCCUAUUGGGGCUUAAACCGUGGCUCUGUCAUGUCAUAACAUUUGAAAAAAUUUGCAAAUGUCGAGGAUUGAAACGCUAAAUUCGACAUCACUCCAUGUAAUAAUACACAAAAUUAAUUUGAAGAUUAACUUUGUAGUACACGUAUAAAACACGUGUAAAAUAUGUGUCAUUUAUGUCAAUAAACAUAUAUGGUUGCUUAAA
Xenia sp. Carnegie-2017 is the source of this 820-nucleotide long non-coding RNA. RefSeq lists it as uncharacterized. NCBI's taxonomy places the organism in Eukaryota, Metazoa, Cnidaria, Anthozoa, Malacalcyonacea, Xeniidae. The record is from RefSeq and is a predicted model, not a curated record. The transcript is spliced from 3 exons.